Molecule: unclassified non-coding RNA, 818 nt
Filed under: Hevea brasiliensis (rubber tree)
Lineage: Eukaryota; Viridiplantae; Streptophyta; Magnoliopsida; Malpighiales; Euphorbiaceae
Source: RNAcentral
AAAAGAGCGUAAACUUGCAGCAAAAGGUGCCGCCGGUCGGAGAGUUAAGCUCGAUCUCUUCGCGGAACCCCCUGGUGGCUCCUCUGUCCAAGAUGAAGUUGGAGGGGAAGAAGAAUCCAAGAUUCAUGCCGAGCUACCUAAUUCACCAUCGUCUUCAGGUCAAGAACCGGAGAAUCCUCUUAUGCUGCUUGGGCAAUAUAGUGACGAUGAAGUGGAUGAGGAGUCAGUUGAAGUACUUAAACGUGCUGCUUCAGAGGAUUCUUCUCUUGAUCAUGAAGACAAGGGAAAGCACUCUGGCGACGACGAGACUAAUGUUAAUGGGGAAAUUGGUUCUACUGUUAUGGAAGUUGAAGAGAAAGCUAUUGACAAUGGCUCUGAUCUACUAAGUCCCUCAGAUAGACCUGCAGAAGAUAGUGCUAGAGAAAACAAUGCUUCUGUCUCAGUUGAUUUACAUGCACAGUUGAGCGUGUUGGAUCAGAUUACUGCCCCUACAACUUCUGAUGCACAGGCUCUAGGGGAUGCAAGUGCGGGGUGGAAGAUGGUGUUGCACGAAGAGAGUAACCAGUACUAUUAUUGGAACACAGUAACAGGCGAGACUUCAUGGGAAGUGCCUCAGAUAUUGGGUCAUGCAGUUGAACAGAGGUUAGAAGAGAAAGUUACUGCUGAAACUGAAUGCAUGGGCCGCACCACCUUGGAGAACUUAGAACCCUCUGCAAAAAUGGAUAUGGACACUAGACAGACUAGUGUCAGCUACAGCGACAUCAAUGAAUACAGGAAGCCAACAGAUGACGACCUACAUGAUAAAAAAAGAGACAAUG